Molecule: ribosomal RNA, 432 nt
Filed under: uncultured bacterium
Lineage: Bacteria
Description: partial 16S ribosomal RNA
Rfam family: Bacterial small subunit ribosomal RNA
Source: RNAcentral
AACGAACGCUGGCGGCAUGCCUAACACAUGCAAGUCGAACGAGACCUUCGGGUCUAGUAGCGCACGGGUGCGUAACGCGUGGGAACCUGCCCUUAGGUUCGGAAUAACUCCCCGAAAGGGGUGCUAAUACCGGAUAAUGUCUUCGGACCAAAGAUUUAUCGCCUUUGGAUGGGCCCGCGUUGGAUUAGCUAGUUGGUAGGGUAAAAGCCUACCAAGGCGACGAUCCAUAGCUGGUCUGAGAGGAUGAUCAGCCACACUGGGACUGAGACACGGCCCAGACUCCUACGGGAGGCAGCAGUGGGGAAUAUUGGACAAUGGGCGAAAGCCUGAUCCAGCAAUGCCGCGUGAGUGAUGAAGGCCUUGGGUUGUAAAGCUCUUUUACCCGGGAUGAUAAUGACAGUACCGGGAGAAUAAGCUCCGGCUAACUCCGUG